UGGAAAGGACUGCUCAGAAAGAGAAGUGAGCUACCUGCAGUGUCCUCUGUUUUGUCGAUGAAGGAUUUUUAGAUUGGUAUGUGAUGAAGUACAACGAGCUGAUGCCUGCGUUGAUGGCUAUCUUCACCAAAAGUCGUGUUUGUUAUGAAGCACAACGAGCUGGUGCCUACGUUGAUGGCUAUAUUCACCAAAGGUCGUGUUUCAUAGAUCAGAAGGCACACCUACAACAAUGAGCAGUGCCAAGGAAUCUUAUGAUGUGAUAAUGGAAAAACGAAAGAAAAGCUUUUGUUAAAGUAUCUAUGAGUGAUAUCAUGAUAUGUCAAAAAUGUUGCAUGGAUACAUUGAUUCUUUAGUACUUGUUACGAGCUGCUAAGAGAGUCGUGUCAAGUUCAAUACUUUUCCUUGUCAUUUAACAUAAUUGCUUGUCUGUUUGGAU
Molecule: long non-coding RNA, 436 nt
Organism: Arabidopsis thaliana (thale cress)
Lineage: Eukaryota; Viridiplantae; Streptophyta; Magnoliopsida; Brassicales; Brassicaceae
Product: other RNA
Exons: 2
Source: RefSeq